CUGGUUGUCAGAGGCUCUGAAUACAGACGUUCCUGACUGUGCAGAUUGAUGGAUGACAAUCAACACAGUUCCAGACAGAGCCAGCUUCACCUUGUCUCCUCAGGGUUAUGCAAUAUCGUGAGAUCAUCAUUAUAGGAGAGACAGAGAGAGAGUGUGAGCAGAGGAGGGGCAGAGAGAGAGGGGGACAGAAGAUCUGAAGUGGGCUCUGCACUGACAGCAGAGAGCCCGAUGUGGGGCUCAAACUCACGAACCACGAGAUAGCGACCUGAGCCGAAGUCAGACACUUAACUGAGCCACCCAGUCACCCCCAGGAUCUGCCCAUCCAUCGGUCACCCUCAAAGUGUCCCCUGUGGAUCUGUGAUUGGCUCAUUAGAAAGGAAACCCAAACAGCAUUUUU
This is a long non-coding RNA of Neofelis nebulosa (Clouded leopard), 397 nucleotides long. RefSeq lists it as uncharacterized. The record is from RefSeq and is a predicted model, not a curated record. NCBI's taxonomy places the organism in Eukaryota, Metazoa, Chordata, Mammalia, Carnivora, Felidae. The transcript has 3 exons.